Molecule: ribosomal RNA, 402 nt
Filed under: uncultured bacterium
Lineage: Bacteria
Description: bacterial SSU rRNA
Rfam family: Bacterial small subunit ribosomal RNA
Source: RNAcentral
GGGGAAUAUUGCACAAUGGGCGCAAGCCUGAUGCAGCGACGCCGCGUGGGGGAUGACGGCCUUCGGGUUGUAAACCUCUUUCGCCUACGACGAAGCGAGAGUGACGGUAGUAGGAGAAGAAGCACCGGCCAACUACGUGCCAGCAGCCGCGGUAAUACGUAGGGGGCAAGCGUUGUCCGGAUUUACUGGGUGUAAAGGGCGCGCAGGCGGGAUAAAAAGUCAGUGGUGAAAUCCUACAGCUUAACUGUAGAACUGCCUUUGAUACUUUUAUUCUUGAGUUCGGGAGAGAGAGACGGAAUUCCAGGUGUAGUGGUGAAAUACGUAGAUAUCUGGAAGAACACCAGUUGCGAAGGCGGUCUCUUGGUCCGACACUGACGCUGAGGCGCGAAAGCGUGGGGAGCA